This 189-nucleotide ribosomal RNA is filed under the name Campylobacter jejuni. RNAcentral's name for it is "partial 23S ribosomal RNA". It matches the Rfam family "Bacterial large subunit ribosomal RNA", at positions 1 to 204 of the family's 2925-position model. Lineage: Bacteria; Pseudomonadati; Campylobacterota; Epsilonproteobacteria; Campylobacterales; Campylobacteraceae. The record is from RNAcentral.
AAAGGUAAGCUACUAAGAGCGAAUGGUGGAUGCCUUGACUGGUAAAGGCGAUGAAGGACGUACUAGACUGCGAUAAGCUACGGGGAGCUGUCAAGAAGCUUUGAUCCGUAGAUUUCCGAAUGGGGCAACCCAAUGUAUAGAGAUAUACAUUACCUAUAUAGGAGCGAACGAGGGGAAUUGAAACAUCUU